Molecule: long non-coding RNA, 1492 nt
Filed under: Bos taurus (domestic cattle)
Lineage: Eukaryota; Metazoa; Chordata; Mammalia; Artiodactyla; Bovidae
Description: long non-coding RNA NONBTAT019039
Source: RNAcentral
AGUUUGAGGUGAUUGUCGUGGAUCCCGUACUGCAGUCUAGCCGACAGAAAUGUGAGUCUGGAACUCUGCAGAGAGACUGAGGUUGGAAACAUCUCCAAGACUUCUUUAAUCACAAAAUUUUUUUUCCACAGAAUAUUUUCUAAACUCUAAUACAUGGCUCACAAGCCAGACAUGCAUGGAAAUUUGUGAUAUAGCUCUUUAUGCUAGGAUUAACGAAGACAGAAAAAUAUAAAUCCCUGGACAAAUUGUUAGAAAAAAUGAUCGGAUUUUGGCAUAGAUAUUUGGAAACGUAACCAGAAGAAGUAAACAAAUAUGGAAGAAUGCUGGUGGCUUCGGCACGUAUCUCUGACUGUGGUGGCCUUGAUGUUCAUGACUCCUGAGGCUUCGGCACAUCCUGACCAGGGACAGAAGGUGUUAGAAGAAAAGGUCAGACAGCUGAUGGACUGGACUAAGAGAGACAGAGUGAUGAGAAUGAAUACUGCCGCGUUCAACCAUUUUGUAUUAGAAAAGCCCAGAAACUAUUCCGUUAUUGCAAUGUUUACUGCUCUCCAGAGGUUUAGAUCAUGUGCACCGUGCAAACUUGCUGUUGAAGAAUUUCAGGUCUUGGCAGGUUCCUGGCAAUUCUCCAGUGCAUUCAGCAACAAGGUAUUUUUUGCUAUGCUGGAUUUUGAUGAAAGCCCUGAGGUCUUUAAAACACUCCAGGUGAAGGGAGGUCCAGUUGUCCUCCAUCUUCCUGCUAAAAGUGAAUUCACAGCAGAUGACAUUUAUAAUUUCCAAGUAAGGGAUAUCUCUGCGCAGCAUAUGUUCACAUGGGUAGACGACAGAACUGGGAGAUGGAUGGGCAAUUUCACAACCAGACAGCCUAUACAUUUUCACUAUCCCUUCAAGUUAGGGAUAUCUGUGGCUCUCAUCGGUGGACUUGUGUAUGUAUUGAAAUGGAAGAGGACGUUUAUUUUUAGCAAAAAUUUUUGGGCGGUUUUAGCUCUGUGUUUUGUAAUCUUGAUGUCAUCUGGUCGAAUGUGGAUUCAUAUACGAGGAGCCCCGUUUGCUGAAAGCAAAACUCACACAGGACAGACACAUUAUAUUCAAGACACGUAUUUCUUUCAGUAUGUAGCAGAAAUGUACAUCAUUUCUCUGUUUUAUAUGUGCAUUACCCUGGGAAUGGUGCUGUUAAGUACAGCUGCCACCUCUCGUAUGAACAUUAUAAGGAGGAAGAUAAUGUCCGUGACUGGUAUGUGUCUACUUGUCAUCUUCUUCAGUUGGCUGCUUUCUCUCGUCAGACUUAAAUAUCAUGUCUAUCCAUUCAGAAUUCUCAUGAAUUAAAAAGGAUCCUAGAGAUGUUAAACAAGGAAGCAAGAAACUUUUUUUUUUAAUGUGGAGACAAAAACAUGAAGCGGAAGAAUAUGAACUCAUAACUUCUUUAAGUGAUUGAGAUUUAGCCAAAGGAGACAUGUGGUGCUUUGGUAAUAACAAGCUGGUUUUUUUUCCUCAA